AACUACCGAAUGGGAUACUAAAAAUAAAUUUUGAUACAUAUACGAGACAUGAUGGUUGGGUAGGGCUCAGUGUGAUUUACUAGGAUUGAAAUAUAAAUAUUAUUUUUCCAUUUUCACUUAUAAAAAAAAUGAUAUGCAAUUUAUUAUAUACUUUUGAAGCGGUCUAAUUUAUUACACAUUGAUAUAAUUUUCUUAAGGUAUUU
RNAcentral lists this long non-coding RNA (203 nucleotides) under Carica papaya (papaya). Its description in RNAcentral is "long non-coding RNA (CPAP_LNC004399)". Lineage: Eukaryota; Viridiplantae; Streptophyta; Magnoliopsida; Brassicales; Caricaceae. The record is from RNAcentral.